This 492-nucleotide long non-coding RNA is filed under the name Homo sapiens (human). RNAcentral describes it as "non-protein coding lnc-NDEL1-8:1". The record is from RNAcentral. Lineage: Eukaryota; Metazoa; Chordata; Mammalia; Primates; Hominidae.
GGUCAACGCCACUGUGUUCUUUUGACAUCAUUGUUGAUGGUAACUCCUUUGGCCCAUGCAGCUCCUUCGAGCUGUUUGCCGACAAAGUUCCAAAAACAGUGGAAAACUUUCGUGCACUGAGCACUGGAGGAAAAGGAUUUGGUUAUAAGGGUUCCUGCUUUCACAGAAUUAUUCCAGGGUUUAUUUUAUCUGCCAGAGUGCUGACUUCACACACCAUAAUAAUGCCAGUCCAUCUACCAGGAGAAAUUUGAUGAUGAGAACUUCAUCCUGAAGCACACAGGUCCUGGCAUCUUGUCCAUGGCAAAUGCUGGCCCGACACAAAUGGUUCCCAGUUUUUCACCUGUGUGGCCAAGACUGAGUGGCUGGAUGGCAAGCACAAGGUCUUUGGCAAAGUGAGAAGAGGGAGUGAAUAUCAUGGAAGCCAUGGAGUGCUCUGGGUCCGGGAAUGGUGAGACUGGCAAGAAGAUCACCACUGCCAACUGCGGACAACUC